Non-coding RNA from Paramisgurnus dabryanus, 483 nucleotides. The record is from RefSeq and is a predicted model, not a curated record. Lineage: Eukaryota; Metazoa; Chordata; Actinopteri; Cypriniformes; Cobitidae.
AUCACCAUCAUCAGUGGAUGCCUUUGCCAUCCGUAGCCUGAGAUUUCAGAUUUGCAGCAAAAAAAUUUGAUUUUCUCAUUUAUUGGAAUGCUAUGCAGGUUGUACCUUGCAGCCAUCCAUUACAAUGUCACCAAGCCGUAACAAAAGCAGGAGAGGGAAAGUACAAGGCUAUGUUCCCAAAACACAAAUGACAUACCUUAUGUGGAUGAUGUGAUCAGGCUUGUGUUUGAUGAGGUAUUUGAAGAUAAGCUGAAGGAAACCCCGAUUCCAAUGGACCUGGCAUCACAGUUUGAGAGACCUUCAAAGGAGGACGUGAUUGCAGGCCAUCUUCAGUGCAGGGGUCGUCGAAAGCCAAAAUUGUGACCGAUCUGAUCAGGAAGCUCCAAGCAUAUCUGGAGAACAAACCACGACAGGAUGAUAACCUUAUAGUGUCGUCUUAGAUAGCACCAGCUGACAAAGCUUUGAUAUGCCAUUUAUCUGAAU